CCUACGGGAGGCAGCAGUGAGGAAUAUUGGUCAAUGGGCGUAAGACUGAACCAGCCAAGUCGCGUGAGGGAUGAAGGUUCUAUGGAUCGUAAACCUCUUUUAUAAGGGAAUAAAGUGUGGGACGUGUCCUAUUUUUUAUGUACCUUAUGAAUAAGGAUCGGCUAACUCCGUGCCAGCAGACGCGGUAAUACGGAGGAUCCGAGCGUUAUCCGGAUUUAUUGGGUUUAAAGGGUGCGUAGGCGGCCUUGUAAGUCAGCGGUGAAAGUCUGUGGCUCAACCAUAGAAGUGCCGUUGAAACUGGGGGGCUUGAGUUUGGUGGAGGCAGGCGGAAUGCGUGGUGUAGCGGUGAAAUGCUUAGAUAUCACGCAGAACCCCGAUUGCGAAGGCAGCCUGCCAAGCCAUGACUGACGCUGAUGCACGAAAGCGUGGGGAUCAAACAGGAUUAGAUACCCGAGUAGUC
This 460-nucleotide ribosomal RNA is filed under the name uncultured bacterium. RNAcentral's name for it is "partial 16S ribosomal RNA". It matches the Rfam family "Bacterial small subunit ribosomal RNA", at positions 338 to 795 of the family's 1533-position model. The record is from RNAcentral.